RNAcentral lists this ribosomal RNA (404 nucleotides) under Fusobacteriota bacterium. RNAcentral describes it as "Fusobacteria bacterium partial 16S ribosomal RNA". It matches the Rfam family "Bacterial small subunit ribosomal RNA", at positions 355 to 776 of the family's 1533-position model. The record is from RNAcentral. Lineage: Bacteria; Fusobacteriati; Fusobacteriota.
UGGGGAAUAUUGCACAAUGGAGGGAACUCUGAUGCAGCGACGCCGCGUGAGUGAUGAAGGAAUUCGUUUCGUAAAACUCUGUUCUAUGGGAAGAAAAGGACUGUACCAUAGGAGAAAGCUCCGGCUAAAUACGUGCCAGCAGCCGCGGUAAUACGUAUGGAGCGAGCGUUGUCCGGAAUUAUUGGGCGUAAAGGGUGCGCAGGCGGCUUUACAAGUUGGAUGUGAAAUAUUGUGGCUCAACCACAAACGUGCAUCCAAAACUGCAAAGCUUGAGUUAAGGAGAGGUAAGUGGAAUUCCUGGUGUAGCGGUUGAAGGCGUAGAUAUCAGGGGGAAUACCGGUGGCGAAGGCGACUUACUGGACUUAAACUGACGCUCAGGCACGAAAGCGUGGGGAGCAAACAGG